AUCGGUUUAAAUUUAUUUCAUUUAAACUUAACUUAUAAACAGUUUAUAGUUUGACAAAUUUUUUAUGGUACCUCCAUACUCUAAAAAAUAAUUAAGCUGCAAUAUUUAUUAUCAGGUUAUGUGCGCUGGAUUUACAACCACUUUAUUCAGUUUCUAAUCGACCUUCAACAGAUUUUGGAGUAUUUUUGUGCACAUCCCUUAACGAUUCUAAAGCUGUAAUCAUAACUUAUGAUGAAGUUCAAAGUAAAUGUUAUCGGAUGCCAUUGUGGAUCAAUAAACCGUUCUUAGAUAUCAAUUCAAAUGAUGAACAAUUAAAUAAUGCCUAUGUUGCUGUAGUCAUGUAGUAUAUACCCUUUUUUAAAACAAAAUAUUCUCUUUAAAACAAUGAAGCCAUAAAAAUUAAUAGUUUCUAUAAGUUAAUACUCAGUAAAUAUAGCUAAAACUUCUGAUAAAAGUAUAAAAUUGUUAAUUUGUUUAUUUUCUACUUUGCGUAACAAAUAAUUAAGAAAUAUAAUUUUUUUACGUUUAACAUAUAAUCUAUCUUUAUUACAUACUGAAAAUUACUUGCAAGUUUGUGAUAUUCACUGAUUUCUUAAAUAAAUAGUAUACAUUGGUUAUGAUA
Molecule: long non-coding RNA, 622 nt
Organism: Cotesia glomerata
Lineage: Eukaryota; Metazoa; Arthropoda; Insecta; Hymenoptera; Braconidae
Exons: 3
Source: RefSeq, a predicted model, not a curated record